CGCAUCUGUGCAUGCAGCAUAUCAAUAAGCGGAGGAAAAGAAACUAACAAGGAUUCCCUCAGUAACGGCGAGUGAAGCGGGAAGAGCUCAAAUUUGAAAUCUUGAAAGGUCACCUUUCACGAAUUGUAGUUUAAAGAAGUGUUUUCUGUUACGAUCGUAAUAUAAGUUCUUUGGAAUAGGACAUCACAGAGGGUGAGAAUCCCGUCUAUGAUUGCGAUUUGUAGCUUUGUGAUACACUUUCAAAGAGUCGGAUUGUUUGGGAAUGCAGUCCAAAAUGGGAUGGUAAAUUUCUAUCUAAGGCUAAAUAUUGGCGAGAGACCGAUAGCGAACAAGUACCGUGAGGGAAAGAUGAAAAGAACUUUGAAAAGAGAGUUAAAUAGUACGUGAAAUUGUCAAAAGGGAGGCGUUUAACACCAGUGUUGUUUUCUGAAAAUCAACCUCUGUUAGCUUUAUGCAUGUUUGUUUAGACCUAAUCAGCUAUCUUGCAUGUUCUAUUGUUUGCAGUGGUGCACUUUUCAGUUUACAGGUCAACAUCAGUUUUUUUUACCGUAAAAAAGUUAAAGAAAGGUAGCUCAUGGCUCCGGUCGUGAGUGUUAUAGUCUUUUUCCUAUGCGGUAGGAGAGACUGAGGUCUGCAGUGUAGGCUAUAUUGGCUAGAUACUCAGGUGCUAUGUGAUACCAUUUCAUAAACAACUUGUUGAUUAUGUUUUGUCUAUUGCAUACUCGCUUGUACUAUCAUACCUACGCUUAGGAUGUUGACGAUCAGCUGAGCGCG
This 774-nucleotide ribosomal RNA is filed under the name uncultured Neocallimastigales. Its description in RNAcentral is "partial large subunit ribosomal RNA". It matches the Rfam family "Eukaryotic large subunit ribosomal RNA", at positions 26 to 637 of the family's 3401-position model. The record is from RNAcentral. Lineage: Eukaryota; Fungi; Neocallimastigomycota; Neocallimastigomycetes; Neocallimastigales.